GAGUUAGCCACAGGGAGGGCCGCGGGCCUGGGCUGAGUUGUGGGGGAGGAGGUGGCAGUUUAGGGCCUCAGGGGACAUAUGGGGGCGGUGGCAGAGUCAGGCGAUACUGGCGGGCUGGGGGUGGGAGUGUGCCUGCUGGAGGCAGGUUAGAGGGGAGACUAGACCUUAGGGAAGUCUUGCAGGGCAGAGCUGCCUCGAAAGGGCCCGCAGGAACCCGGGGAGAGGAGCACACUCCAGGCCUGGGUGUCGCUGCUGCCCGCUGGAGAAGGGGAACUUGACCCCUGGGAGGGGGCCGAUUCCGCGUAGGCUGGGCGGCCCCCUGUGCCCUGCUUUGUCUGAAGGAGGGAGGCAGAGACUGGAGGAGGCUGAGGGUCUCGCCACCCUUGCUGGAGGCGAUAUCUGGCCGUCGAUGCCCUGAACAUGAGCAAGAAGGCAGGCCGUGGGGUGCGGGGUCGCAGUUAGGCUGGGAAGGCAGCACUUGAACUUGUCAAUACCAGCCGCCCCCUUUUUUUCCAGACAAAGGGGUGUGAGCCCGCCUGGGGAUGAGGCCUGGUGUGGUGGCAACUGACCUUAGCUUCGCGGGCUGACAGCUCUGGCCCAGGGCGGUGGCAGUGCUCCCUUUUGGACUUUUCCUGUAGGUUCCGUGCUAACCUCUUCUGUGAGCUCACUCUGCCCCUCCUCCUCCUCCUCCUCCCUUUAACUCCCUCGAGGUUCCCCAUUGGCUUAAGCGUUGCUUCUGGUAAUCUGGUAAGCCCGGGAAGUUGCUCCAGUCCCUGUUGGAGUCGGUACUGCUGAUGGUGGUUUGUUGCUGUAGUGUUCAUCAUGGCGAGCUGAUGGCACCAGGAGGAUGGAGCCCCUGGCCAGUGUGAGUCCUAGCAGUGCAGGAGGGGAGACCCUGGAGGAGAGAGCCCGCCUAAAUUGAUGUCUGCAGAUUGAAUUUCCAGAGGCUUAGGAGGAGGAAGUUCUCCAAUGUCCCGUGUCCAGGCCUUGGCUCAGGAAGCCUUGUAUUCAGGAGGCCACCCUUUAAGGGUGUCAAUGAGCUUGUGAGAGGGUGAUGGUUCCAAGUCCCAAGCAGAUGCAUCCGGGGUCGUCAGCAGAUGUGUUGAGUGUUUGAUCCGGAGCACCAACCUCUGGGCACGUUGAAUGCCAGCAGGCACCUCUCCUGUUCGGGGGUGGAGGUUUUCCGAUGGCUGCGUCUUCUAAUGCCUCCUGUCAUGCUAGUUCUGUGCUACGAACCUUGCUUCCAGAAGACUCUUAAGAUGUAGAACAUUUUAACGCUGAUGCCUCAACGCAGAGUGAUGCCUGGUAGAUGGAGCUUGCAGAUGGAGCCCAGGGACCCUGUCAUCUACUCACCUGCCUGCCCCAGCCUCGGUCGGAGGAAUUCUUAGUGUGAUGAUGUAACCUGUGUGUCCAGAAAGUGUUCACUGUUGAAACGCCUUAGGCCAAUACUCACAGGAAGCCACCUGGCAAACUGAGGGGGUCAUUGUGUUGUGCUGUGGUCUGGGAGGGUACAAGGUGGUGCUGCGCAAGUGGGGAUAGAAAUGCAGGUCUGGUUUGGGCAUUCCUACUACAAGAAGGGUGUGGUCAGGGUACUGAUAGUGAUCUCUGCUCCAUCUUGCCCUAUAUACUUUUUAACUUGAAUUUUAUUUGAUUAGAUUUCAAAGUAAUUUUAGUCUUCAAAUGAGGGGACCCCGAGGUGAGGGAUUGGGAGGGAGGGGAUGAUUUGGCCCUGGCGCUGGGGACGGGGAGGGGGGGAAAGAAAGGGAGAGGGUUGCGAUUAGAUGUGGGUUCUGUAGGGUGGGAGUGGUUGGGAGUGUGGGUCGGAGGGAAUUUUCUGGAGAAAAUAUCAAUAGGCAGAGCUCUGGGGAGUUACGUAGAGCUCGUGGGAGAAGAAAAUGUUAGUUAAUAGUAAAUUGUUAACACUAGUUGUUGCUUGGAAGCGCAAAAGUUGCUUGCAAAUUUUCUAAAAUGCUUAGAACUCUUAAUUGCAGGAAGGAAAGCAAAAUUGUUUUGCUUUGCAAGAUGGGGAGGACUGGAAAAGGUAACAGCCUGGUUAUCAGUCACUUGAAAGACUGGUGUCAGGAACUUGCAUCAGCAGAUUAACAUCUUUCACCGCUUUGCAAACUUCAAAGUGGUUUAUCUGAAUGUGUGCAGAAUCCCGAGCAGUCUUAAGACUCUAAAUACCCAAAUUGAGGGCUUUUGAAGUAUUAUGUUUCAGAUUUUGGUGUGCACUUAAGAUGGUCAGAUGUACUUUUCUGGGUUUGUAACAUCUUAGCUGAGGUUUUGCAAUUGAAAACUUGAGCAGAGUGAAAAUGGUUUCUAGAGGAAUUCCGUAUGUCAUCUCCUGCCUUAUUAAACACAUCUCUUGUCUUUGUGAUUGGUACUACUACCAGCAGAAGUUUUUCCCAUUAACCUUUUUGUCCUUGUUGUGACAAGAAGAACGUAAUAACCUUGUGACCGCUGUCGUCACUGUAUGUUUGGUAGCAAAUAGUCCAUGUAUCCUUGAUAAGGUUUCAGUUCAUAAUCCGCUGUAUCUUUAGUUUGAAUGUUUGUGCUUUUUAAGUGACCCAGUACUUCAUGUGGGAAACUAUUAAACCAAAAUCAGUUUUGGAAAUGAGAACAAAACUAGGGCUGGGCAAGUGCUUUAGAUACGGUCUGUAAAAAUCCAGGGGAAGAUCUGAACUCUUAUGAUACUUGUUUUCUGAGAUGCACCUAUUUAAUUGGUAAAGUAACAGCUGUGGCUUUUUAUCAUCUCCCUUUUCCCCUUAAAUUUACUUUGAAAAUUUUAAAUCCCCACUACUUAUUACCCUUGGGAGUUACGUCUUCUGGGUUCUUUGGUGAUGUUUAAAAAUAUGUUGACAUGUAGUUCAAUUCUUAACCUGUGACUUGGGCAUGAUGCGGUGACUCAUUGGAAUUUGAAGAGCACCAGUCACGCGUGUCGGGAAAUAUGUUGCGUUAUGCUGUUGUGAAAUCGAAACUGUAAAAGUAGGUGGUGAAAAUCACGUCUCUGUUGCUCUGUGUGGUGAGAACCAGUCCUGUUGCAUCAUGUAUGAUGACUAAUCAUUUUUCUUCCCCUUCACAGCACAAAUAAAGGUUUGAGUUCUAAAC
RNAcentral lists this long non-coding RNA (3108 nucleotides) under Sus scrofa (pig). Its description in RNAcentral is "lncRNA (ENSSSCG00030018037.1)". The stretch from base 812 to 969 matches the Rfam family "Nuclear enriched abundant transcript 1 conserved region 3". Lineage: Eukaryota; Metazoa; Chordata; Mammalia; Artiodactyla; Suidae. The record is from RNAcentral.